This 482-nucleotide ribosomal RNA is filed under the name Streptococcus parasanguinis. RNAcentral describes it as "bacterial SSU rRNA". It matches the Rfam family "Bacterial small subunit ribosomal RNA", at positions 28 to 494 of the family's 1533-position model. The record is from RNAcentral. Lineage: Bacteria; Bacillati; Bacillota; Bacilli; Lactobacillales; Streptococcaceae.
GAUGAACGCUGGCGGCGUGCCUAAUACAUGCAAGUAGAACGCUGAAGCUUGGUGCUUGCACCGAGCGGAUGAGUUGCGAACGGGUGAGUAACGCGUAGGUAACCUGCCUGGUAGCGGGGGAUAACUAUUGGAAACGAUAGCUAAUACCGCAUAAAAGUCGAUAUCGCAUGAUGUUGACUUGAAAGGUGCAAUUGCAUCACUAAGAGAUGGACCUGCGUUGUAUUAGCUAGUUGGUGAGGUAACGGCUCACCAAGGCGACGAUACAUAGCCGACCUGAGAGGGUGAUCGGCCACACUGGGACUGAGACACGGCCCAGACUCCUACGGGAGGCAGCAGUAGGGAAUCUUCGGCAAUGGGGGCAACCCUGACCGAGCAACGCCGCGUGAGUGAAGAAGGUUUUCGGAUCGUAAAGCUCUGUUGUAAGAGAAGAACGAGUGUGAGAGUGGAAAGUUCACACUGUGACGGAACUACCAGAAAGGACG